Molecule: ribosomal RNA, 253 nt
Filed under: uncultured bacterium
Lineage: Bacteria
Description: partial 16S ribosomal RNA
Rfam family: Bacterial small subunit ribosomal RNA
Source: RNAcentral
UACGUAGGUGGCAAGCGUUGUCCGGAUUUAUUGGGCUUAAAGGGUGCGUAGGUGGCCAUGUAAGUCAGUGGUGAAAUAUCUCAGCUUAACUGAGAGGGUGCCAUUGAUACUGCAGGGCUUGAGUACAGAUGAGGUAGGCGGAAUUGACGGUGUAGCGGUGAAAUGCAUAGAUAUCGUCAAGAACACCGAUAGCGAAGGCAGCUUACCAAGCUGUAACUGACACUGAGGCACGAAAGUGUGGGGAUCAAACAGG